This 398-nucleotide ribosomal RNA is filed under the name uncultured bacterium. Its description in RNAcentral is "partial 16S ribosomal RNA". It matches the Rfam family "Bacterial small subunit ribosomal RNA", at positions 523 to 918 of the family's 1533-position model. The record is from RNAcentral.
AUACGUAGGGUGCGAGCGUUGUCCGGAAUUACUGGGCGUAACGAGCUCGUAGGUGGUUUGUCGCGUCGUCUGUGAAAUUCCGGGGCUUAACUCCGGGCGUGCAGGCGAUACGGGCAUAACUUGAGUACUGUAGGGGAGACUGGAAUUCCUGGUGUAGCGGUGAAAUGCGCAGAUAUCAGGAGGAACACCGGUGGCGAAGGCGGGUCUCUGGGCAGUAACUGACGCUGAGGAGCGAAAGCAUGGGUAGCGAACAGGAUUAGAUACCCUGGUAGUCCAUGCCGUAAACGGUGGGCGCUAGGUGUAGGGGUCUUCCACGACUUCUGUGCCGUAGCUAACGCAUUAAGCGCCCCGCCUGGGGAGUACGGCCGCAAGGCUAAAACUCAAAUGAAUUGACGGGG